Long non-coding RNA from Populus euphratica (Euphrates poplar), 1354 nucleotides. RefSeq lists it as uncharacterized. Lineage: Eukaryota; Viridiplantae; Streptophyta; Magnoliopsida; Malpighiales; Salicaceae. The transcript is spliced from 3 exons. The record is from RefSeq and is a predicted model, not a curated record.
AAUAGAUAUUAUGAAACCGCGCGCAACGCAACGCAAAGCAAUGCGCAAAUGUCUGUAAUUGAAGAAUGAAACAUACGCGUGAAGCAUAUGCCUGUAAACCUACCAUUCAAAAUGCUACUAAGACCAGAGAGAAAGAGCUCGGAACCAAACAGACAUUUAUCUACCAGUCAAACUUCGUAAAACUCAAACUCCUUUUGAAGAGACCAAACUCCUCACAAAGAAGAUCAUUUAGCUUGGUGAAAGAAUCAAAGCAGAGCGUGGGCAGAAGAACCAGCACCACCAGUUCAGAGAUGUUCUUGCACAGGAAAUAUACCAGGGAAUCGCUGCAACAUUAAGAAGAGCCUGCCAAAAGAUGACGAUUCAGAAGGUACAUAUACUUGUGCAAGACGCUUUAUCUUCUAGGAGAACAAAAUCAAGCAACAAGAGGAAUCAAAGGCAAGAUGCGAGCAUAUAAAAAGAGGAGGGGGUGAAGGAAAAGGAAAGAAGACAAGACCAAGAGCUCAAAGCAUCUCCAUACCUCUCAAAAAAUAACAUAACAGGAUGAAGAACUUAAAAAAGGAAGAUAACGAGGUAGAAGAAAAAUAUGAAGAAUAAGGGAGGGUGUGAAGAGAAAGUUUGAAAAGUGGGCAAGAGACAGCACAAAGGUAAAUUUUGGUCAUACUCGUGCAUAAUUCCAUUAUUUCACAAAAAAAAGCCCAUUUAUAAGCUUUAAGGAAGCCCAAAACAGACGACAGACCUACUGGACUUGCCAGUCAACAAUCAUUAACUUCCAAAAAAAGGACUAUACAGAAACAUACAUGCUUGCAUGUACACAUGAAAAAAAUUCCAUACAACCAGCCAUCACUGUCAAGGCAAUCAAUUAUAGGACAUCCAAAUUAGUAGUUUGCAUCAACGGCAGGUCAUUAUGAUUUCUUAUCAAAAUCUUUGUCAACGGGGCAACAUGACAAGAAAAACAAUGUUCUCCAUGAAAUCAUAGCAUCCGUCACUUCUAUUAUACUUGAUCUUCAGUUCUAUAUCUUCAUAUCUAAAAAUCAAAACCGAUUAUGAAGUCAUAGGACUUCUAAACCAAACAAAACCCAAUUGACAUCAGAAACUCCAACACACCAUCUCCAUUUACCAGUUUUCCCCGCUCAGCUGGGCAUGCUCUUUAUGCUAGAUCACUUUCUCAAUCCCUAAUCCUCAGAUUCCAUGCCUGGAAUCCCAUGCAACAAUACUAAGUGCUACCUCAUCAACAAAUCACAAGAUAUCCCAAUUGUUCCUAGUCGUUACACUAAUGGGUUGAAAUAUGCAAACCUCAAAAAAAUUUCAUGUAUCUGAUUCUGAAAUAAUUGAAACGUUAAUAAUGAAAAGGCAA